UUACCUUUGGAUUCGUUUCCUGACGAAUGGGUGAAUAUCUAUGGAGUUAUGGCUUGGAAUAAGUAACUGAAUGGUCUCUCCGAUGAUAGGUAGACCCAUAGAACCAGGAGGGAGUCUAUGGAGUUAUGGCUUGGAAUAAGUAACUGAAUGGUCUCUCCGAUGAUAGGUAGACCCAUAGAACCAGGAGGGAGUUGAACUCGAACGCCAUUAAUUUUUGGGUAUUUCCAUUUAAUAAGCAAAUGAGUGUAAUAUAUGACGAAAAAUGCUACAAGGACCAACCCAAUUCCCAACAUUUUGUGCCCUUUUGCUUUAUCU
RNAcentral lists this long non-coding RNA (315 nucleotides) under Populus trichocarpa (black cottonwood). RNAcentral describes it as "long non-coding RNA (PTRI_LNC002298)". The record is from RNAcentral. Lineage: Eukaryota; Viridiplantae; Streptophyta; Magnoliopsida; Malpighiales; Salicaceae.